This is a long non-coding RNA of Gossypium arboreum, 389 nucleotides long. RefSeq lists it as uncharacterized. Lineage: Eukaryota; Viridiplantae; Streptophyta; Magnoliopsida; Malvales; Malvaceae. The record is from RefSeq and is a predicted model, not a curated record. The transcript is spliced from 2 exons.
UGAUAUGAAAUCAUUAAUAUUUUGAUAUAAAUAUUUAGCAAGACGGUUAAACUAGUUAAUUUGUUGAUUAAGCUCAAGAAGUUAAAGGAGGAGAAUCAAGCAAAGGCAAAGGAAAGGACAUCGAGUAGCCGAGUUAGAAUCGUUUUACCCAACACAAGGUUCCUUUGAUUCAUUUUUGUGUGCUCGGGACCAUCGUCGAAGUCAUCACACCAGCUUGCAACUUUUGGUAUCUUCUUCCUAGUUGGUCUAAGAGAACAUUUCGGCAUGUAUAGGCUAUUAUGUUUUGUUUGAACUUUGGUAUGUAAAACUUUGGAUAGCCAUGCGAAAAUGGCUUAUAUACGUUUUGAGCAUAAUGUUAUAGUCAUCUUGAAUGUAUAUGUUCAUUAAAA